Molecule: long non-coding RNA, 950 nt
Filed under: Volvox carteri
Lineage: Eukaryota; Viridiplantae; Chlorophyta; Chlorophyceae; Chlamydomonadales; Volvocaceae
Description: long non-coding RNA (VCAR_LNC003243)
Source: RNAcentral
CUGGAUGGUUGACAUGGGAAGGCGGAAACAAGUUGCCAAGGGUCCUUACGCUGCAGAAAAACACAACCCCAGCCCAACGGCCACUAUACCCCCAUCGUGCUGCCCACCAAUGCCCCUCAGCGGGGCAACACGCGCAUGACACAUAAACCUAUCCAAAGAACUUCGAACGACUCUCAGACUCUCAUGUGGUGACAUCUAUAGAGGUAGCUACCUCCUCAACCCGGGAAGAUCCCUGCAGGUUCAGCUGACUGGUUCCCCCCUACACCAAGCACUACCCCUUCUGAGCUCCAAAGGCCAUACUACUAGGCUAAAUGACUCGACCGAACCCACCCCGUCCCGGCCCGCUGGCUGUCCAGCCGCCCCUCAGCGGCCGUUUGCCACAAGCCUGCUGCUGGCAGAGCCUAGCGCGGAGGCGUCUGCGAUUGACCAGCGAAGAAGGGAAAAGGAAACUCACUAAUCCAUGAUUGAUUUCUUUUCAGAACUAGCCAGAGACACAAUGACUUUCAAGGUAAAAUGCAUUCCCCAAUCCGCUUCGAACUGUAUGAAUGGUUAUUUAUACACCCCGCCCGGCCGUCAGGGCGAUGGAUUCAGGGCGAUGACCCGGAUCCACUUCGCCUUGCACUUUUUGAUACAGGGCGAUGGAUGACAUACAACAAAGGUCACACUUGGCAAGAGAACAAAAGCCUGCCAACUGAGAACAAUUCAGUAUUCCUUUAAUGAAUAAAAGGAACAGAAUGCUGCCAAAACAAUCAGUGUUGGAAAACAUAGGUGGCGCCGCAAUGCUCACCCUCUGAUCUACAUAAAGCCUUGAGGAAUCAUAAGACAUGAUUGGAUGGCGAACCAGUAGCUUUAGUACUCAGUCCAUUGCUGGCACAGCAAGCUGACGCAUGGAUGCGCGGGAAGCCCAUGACCCAAUCUCUAGCCGUUUCGGACAUAGGGACCAUAUAGGC